RNAcentral lists this ribosomal RNA (277 nucleotides) under uncultured Pseudomonas sp. Its description in RNAcentral is "partial 16S ribosomal RNA". It matches the Rfam family "Bacterial small subunit ribosomal RNA", at positions 1107 to 1382 of the family's 1533-position model. Lineage: Bacteria; Pseudomonadati; Pseudomonadota; Gammaproteobacteria; Pseudomonadales; Pseudomonadaceae. The record is from RNAcentral.
GUCCUUAGUUACCAGCACGUUAUGGUGGGCACUCUAAGGAGAUUGCCGGUGACAACCGGAGGAAGGUGGGGAGUGACGUCAAGUCAUCAUGGCCCUUACGGCCUGGGCUACACACGUGCUACAAUGGUCGGUACAAAGGGUUGCCAAGACCGCGAGGUGGAGCUAAUCCCAUAAAACCGAUCGUAGUCCGGAUCGCAGUCUGCAACUCGACUGCGUGAAGUCGGAAUCGCUAGUAAUCGUGAAUCAGAAUGUCACGGUGAAUACGUUCCCGGGCCUU